AGUGAACGCUGGCGGUAGGCCUAACACAUGCAAGUCGAACGGCAGCACAGUAAGAGCUUGCUCUUACGGGUGGCGAGUGGCGGACGGGUGAGGAAUACAUCGGAAUCUACUUUUUCGUGGGGGAUAACGUAGGGAAACUUACGCUAAUACCGCAUACGACCUACGGGUGAAAGCAGGGGAUCUUCUGACCUUGCGCGAUUGAAUGAGCCGAUGUCGGAUUAGCUAGUUGGCGGGGUAAAGGCCCACCAAGGCGACGAUCCGUAGCUGGUCUGAGAGGAUGAUCAGCCACACUGGAACGGAGACACGGCCCAGACUCCUACGGGAGGCAGCAGUGGGGAAUAUUGGACAAAGGGCGCAAGCCUGAUCCAGCCAUACCGCGUGGGUGAAGAAGGCCUUCGGGUUGUAAAGCCCUUUUGUUGGGAAAGAAAAGCAGCAGGUUAAUACCCCGCUGUUCUGACGGUACCCAAAGAAUAAGCACCGGCUAACUUCGUG
This 492-nucleotide ribosomal RNA is filed under the name uncultured bacterium. Its description in RNAcentral is "partial 16S ribosomal RNA". It matches the Rfam family "Bacterial small subunit ribosomal RNA", at positions 29 to 507 of the family's 1533-position model. The record is from RNAcentral.